GCUAUUCGGAGGUAGUGGACGACGACUAGUGGUAACAUGUGGAUACACAUCCUGAAUAUCCAUGGAGGCGCUGAGCAUUCCCCAUUGAGAGGCAUUGAUUCAAUGGUUCUCCAUGAGGAGAUGCUGAUUGGUGAGGCGAUUGGGCCAGCCGCAACGAGACCAGCGCGAAAGGUAAUGGAGAAAAUCAUCGCUGUCACUUAUAGGCUGCCUGCAUCUUUUUCAAAGACUGCCCCCACCCCCAGAUGACACGUUCGUUGCAUGGCGAGUUGGAGAAGUAAGAUGUGCUUACUUGAAGCUCUCUCUCCUCCAGUCACAGUCUUUCUCUCUGAAACUUAUGCUUCGAGGAACAUGAACAACUUCUGAUUUGCACGCCAGUCCGGUCAGCUUCGACUAUUUUGUUGUUUCUUCUUCUGUUAACUUAAUUAA
This is a long non-coding RNA of Pelobates fuscus (common spadefoot toad), 426 nucleotides long. RefSeq lists it as uncharacterized. The record is from RefSeq and is a predicted model, not a curated record. NCBI's taxonomy places the organism in Eukaryota, Metazoa, Chordata, Amphibia, Anura, Pelobatidae. The transcript is spliced from 3 exons.